Molecule: long non-coding RNA, 521 nt
Organism: Nannospalax galili (Upper Galilee mountains blind mole rat)
Lineage: Eukaryota; Metazoa; Chordata; Mammalia; Rodentia; Spalacidae
Exons: 3
Source: RefSeq, a predicted model, not a curated record
ACCCUGUCUCAAAAAGACAAAAAAAGAAAAAAAGAAAAGAAAAAAAAAGGAAAAAGAAUAAUUCUUGACAUGUUUCUCUGCUUGGACUUUACACUCCUUUGUUUUUUCUUGAACACUGGCACUAGCACAGGGAUUGGAGAACUCUUGGAUACUCGCUAAAGAACCAAGCCCCUUUCUACUCCUUCCAGCUUGAAAUUCCUGGGAAAGGCCUUGUUUUGUUGGAGGGGUGGGUUCCAGUACAAAGUCUUCUGUUGUCCCAGGCAGGUACCUUAGUGUGACUGAGGAGGAAAGGGUGUCCUUACAGGCUGCACAUGAGGCUAAUACAGGCGCAAUAGGAAGAAUGGAAGGAGCCAAAUACCAGUACCUGGGAGUUGAGCCACAGCAUACCUCUACACCUCAGAGAGUUGGCAAUGGAGAGCUGAAUGCCAGCAGCCACUGGGCUGGGAGCCAUUUACUGGGACCGAAGGUGCCCACAGAGGACAAAAGAGGGCAUCAGAUCCCCUGGAACUGGAGUUAUGGAC